UACAGAGGUCCCAAGCGUUGUUCGGAUUCAUUGGGCGUAAAGGGUGCGUAGGCGGCGCGGUAAGUCGGGUGUGAAAUCUCGGGGCUCAACCCCGAAACUGCACUUGAUACUGCCUUGCUCGAGUACUGGAGAGGAGAUUGGAAUUUACGGUGUAGCAGUGAAAUGCGUAGAUAUCGUAAGGAAGACCAGUGGCGAAGGCGAAUCUCUGGACAGUUACUGACACUGAGGCACGAAGGCCAGGGGAGCAAACGGG
Molecule: ribosomal RNA, 253 nt
Filed under: uncultured bacterium
Lineage: Bacteria
Description: partial 16S ribosomal RNA
Rfam family: Bacterial small subunit ribosomal RNA
Source: RNAcentral